GUGCCAAGCAGCCGCGGUAAUUCCAGCUCCAAUAGCGUAUAUUAAAGUUGUUGCGGUAAAAAAGCUCGUAGUUGGAUUUCUGUUGAAGACGUCCGGUCCAUACCACGUAUGCGCAUCUGGCUCGGCUUCGGCAUCCUCUCGAAAGACGUUUCUGCGCUUGAUUGCGUGGAGCGGAUCUCGGGACUUUUACUUUGAGGAAAUUAGAGUGUUCACGGCAGGCUAUCGCCAGAAUACAUUAGCAUGGAAUAAUACUAUAGGAUCUCGGUUCUAUUUUGUUGGUUUCUAGAAUUGAGAUAAUGAUUAAUAGGGACAAUUGGGGGCAUUCGUAUCAACACGUUAGAGGUGAAAUUCUUGGAUCGUGUUGCGACGAACUACUGCGAAAGCAUUUGCCAAGGAUGUUUUCAUUGAUCAAGAACGAAAGUAAGGGGAUCGAAGACGAUUAGAUACCGUCGUAGUCUUUACCAUAAACUAUGCCAACUAGAGAUGGGACAUCGUUCACUUAAGACUUGUUCCGCACCUUAUGAGAUAUCAAAGUCUUUGGGUUCCGGGGGGAGUAUGGUCGCAAGUCUGAAACUUAAAGGAAUUGACGGAAGGGCACCACCAGGAGUGGAGCCUGCGGCUUAAUUUGACUCAACACGGGGAAACUCACCAGGUCCAGACAUAAUAAGGAUUGACAGAUUGAUAGCUCUUUCUUGAUUUUAUGGGUGGUGGUGCAUGGCCGUUCUUAGUUCGUGGAGUGAUUUGUCUGCUUAAUUGCGUUAACGAACGAGACCUUAACCUGCUAAAUAGGAGCGCCUAUCUCCGGAUAAGCGCCUUUCUUCUUAGAGGGACUUUAUGCGUUUCAGCAUGAGGAAGUUUGAGGCUAAAACAGGUCUGUGAUGC
RNAcentral lists this ribosomal RNA (882 nucleotides) under uncultured eukaryote. RNAcentral describes it as "SSU rRNA". It matches the Rfam family "Eukaryotic small subunit ribosomal RNA", at positions 564 to 1470 of the family's 1831-position model. The record is from RNAcentral.